AUGAGCCGCCCGCGGCCAUUCCGCCGGGUAUACGGACGGUGGAUGGUGAUUCCGCCCGCGCGCAGCAGGUUUGUCGAGAUUCGGGAAGGACGUGGGUGUGUUUUUUUUAAUAUAUGCAUACGGUGCAGUGGUUUUCGCAAAUACAGUGGGUAUACGGUGCAGUGGUUUUCGCAAAUGCAGUGGUUUUAAUAUUAUAGACAGGAACAGGUUGCGUCGUCCUCCUUCCUUCCCUCUGCUCCCCGAGAUAUAUCGAACCCGGCCGCUUGCCCCACAGCUCAUCUCCCCAUUCUCAAAUCCAUGGCUGUACUGACCCGGGCUCCGGAAGGGGGCACCGCGGCAUUGCCGUCGCGCAAGGUUUGGAGGCCCAAUCCACACUCAUGCUCUCCGGAUGCUGCCGCUGAGUCCAACGGUGAGGCCUCCGAUGUCGCCCCACCUCCGGCGACGGUGCUGACUCUGCCGCCGAAGGCAACGCCUCGCCGCUCAUGCCCCCACGCCAGUCGCGCGGGGAGGCCGCCGCCAUCAAGCUCCUCAGCUCGCAUCCCAUCGACCCGCCAAACAUGGAUUCGAGGUUUCCUGUGGAUUUCGGAAGAGGGCACAAGAAAAGGUGCAGAGGGAUGGCGAUGACGACUACGCGGCAGCCAGAUCUCACGGAUUGAGAGUUGAAUCUUGCUUAGAGAGGCGGUUGCUGCUGGAUCUGGCAUCCAAGUGCUCCACGUGUUCAGGCUGCAUUGAAGCUCGAGCUCCUGCCUCUGGCUGCGCCGGCUGCAGUGCUUCCUUGGUGGAGCAUCACUCAUUUCUUGGGCAUUGCCUCAACAAGCGGUAACCGGUGGAGGGCGAUGCUGGGCUUGACAGCACUAAGCUGGCAGCUAAUAUGUGAACCUCAUUUAUGAUUCUUGGGUGUCCUUUUGUUGCAAGGAAAAAAAAUCUAACUUUCUGCACUAAAUAGCUUGCUUCAUUAUCUAUAGAAUAGUUAGAUUGAUUCUUGUUUGAGAAAAUGGUGUGCAUAAUCUUGAGGUGACCAAAUUUCGAGAUUUUUUAUUUUAUUAAACACGUGCUGCCUUCAAUUUGACUUUUGCGUAGUUUUUUUGUGGUUUGUGAAGAAUGUGCAUCUAAAGAUUCUAGGCAAAAGUCUAUUUAUGCAUCUCCCAUGUUCAAUAGUUUCGAGAUCUACUAUCUGCCCCAAAAUAUGUGAAUAUUAUCUACUGACCAUUUUUUAUAAUUUUUGUUAUAUGCAAAAUGAUAUGUGCAUGUUCAUGUUAUUAUUAUUUAUAGUGUAUCAAGUCAGAUGCACAGGGGAAGCACUAGCAUAGAGCAAUCUGCAGAUUAUCACUGUUUGAUAUUAUAUACAAAUAAUAACUUAAGAUAUGUGCAUCUUCAGUUGUGCAUGCCCUUUUACCUCAAAUCUUGUGAUGCACAAACAGUUGUGCAUGCCCUCAUGCAAUUAGUUGUACAUGUUGUACCAAAUAAUUGAUUGGAUGUUGCUCUCAAUUCUU
Long non-coding RNA from Panicum virgatum (switchgrass), 1493 nucleotides. RefSeq lists it as uncharacterized. The transcript has 2 exons. The record is from RefSeq and is a predicted model, not a curated record. NCBI's taxonomy places the organism in Eukaryota, Viridiplantae, Streptophyta, Magnoliopsida, Poales, Poaceae.